This is a long non-coding RNA of Limulus polyphemus (Atlantic horseshoe crab), 113 nucleotides long. RefSeq lists it as uncharacterized. The record is from RefSeq and is a predicted model, not a curated record. The transcript has 3 exons. NCBI's taxonomy places the organism in Eukaryota, Metazoa, Arthropoda, Merostomata, Xiphosura, Limulidae.
AAAGGUGUAACCGUACUAGUUAGGGUUUAUUAUUUGUUUCGUAAAUAAAGUCUCAUAGAAGUAGAGAUACAGGUCAGCCAUGUUUGUGGAGAAAUUAUCUACAUAAAAUUACC